This 497-nucleotide ribosomal RNA is filed under the name uncultured bacterium. RNAcentral describes it as "partial 16S ribosomal RNA". It matches the Rfam family "Bacterial small subunit ribosomal RNA", at positions 28 to 507 of the family's 1533-position model. The record is from RNAcentral.
GAUGAACGCUGGCGGCGUGCCUAACACAUGCAAGUCGAGCGAAUAGAUAAGGAGCUCGCCUGUUUUCCGUUAGCGGCGGACGGGUGAGUAAUACGAGUGUAACCGACCUAGAAGACUGGAAUACCGCCGGGAAACCUAGUACAACACAGGAUAACAUGGUGAACCGCAUGGUUCUUCAGUGAAAGGCGGCUCUGCUGACACUUAGAGAGGGUCCCGCGCCGGAUUGGUUAGUUGGUGAGGAAACGGCUCACCAAGGCAAAGGUGCGUAGCCGACCUGAGAGGGUGAUCCGCCCACCUUGAAACGAGACACGGUCCCAACUCCUAAGGGAGGCCGCCGUAGGGAAUCUUCCGCAAUGGGCGGAAGCCUGACGCCACACAGCCGGGUGGUGUAUAGAAGGCUUCCGAUCUGUAAACCAUGUUAUGUGGGAAGGACAGGUACUAAGGUAACUGCGCGCGUCUUGACGGUACCCAGUAGAAAAGGCACCGCUUAAUACGUU